Molecule: long non-coding RNA, 581 nt
Organism: Cavia porcellus (domestic guinea pig)
Lineage: Eukaryota; Metazoa; Chordata; Mammalia; Rodentia; Caviidae
Exons: 2
Source: RefSeq, a predicted model, not a curated record
AUGUAGUAAAAUCCACCCACUCUAGUGUGCAGUUCCAGGUUUUCUUUCAAAAACAGCUCCUGUGACCGCCUUACCACCACCUCAGGAAACCUGGUCUUUCUCCGACUCCCUGCUUCCCUGCUGCCGGUGGAACUCCUCGUCCCUCAACCCUUUUCUUUCUUUCUUUCUUCUUUUUUUUUGGUCUUUUUCAGACAGAUCUUACUAUGCAGUUCAGGCUGGCCUUGAACUCCCAGAGAUCCUCCUGCCUCAGCCUCCCGAGUGCUGGCAUGACAGGCUCAGCAAGGUGAAGUGACUCUCCCAGGGUCUAGGGCUGGCAUUGGCCACUGGAGCCUGGGGGAGCCAGGCUGCCCUGACUUUUGCCCUGUGAUACCCAACUCAUCCGUGAACACACAGAUGCCUUGGCCUACAGCCGCUGUGGACAAUCCAAGCUCGCCUGUGGCUGUCAGAGAUACCUGGGAUCCGGAAGUUGAGCUGCAAUAAGAGGCUGCUGGAUAGAUCCGGGGAAGAACUUUUGUUUUCAAAUGGUAGCAAAAAUAGGGAUGACAGCUACAGACUUAGAUAAAUAAAUUGUAUUUUCUACA